RNAcentral lists this ribosomal RNA (472 nucleotides) under uncultured bacterium. RNAcentral's name for it is "partial 16S ribosomal RNA". It matches the Rfam family "Bacterial small subunit ribosomal RNA", at positions 28 to 507 of the family's 1533-position model. The record is from RNAcentral.
GACGAACGCUGGCGGCGUGCUUAACACAUGCAAGUCGAACGGUAACGCUUUGUGCUUGUGCUGUGCGGGUGAGGGGAACGCGGGUGUGUAAUGCGUGCAUCACCUGCUCUUGUUUCGGGGAUAAUCAGGGAAAUGGGGGUAAAAUACUAGAUAAGACAUUCCACUGCGGGGGGGGGUGUAGAGUGGGGUUGGGUGGUUUUGGAUGGGCUGACGGCCUAUCAGCUUGUUGGGGGGGUAGUGGCCAACCAAGGCGUCGACGGGUAGCCGGCCUGAGAGGGUGACCGGCCACAUUGGGACUGAGAUACGGCCCAGACUCCUACGGGAGGCAGCAGUGGGGAAUAUUGCAUAAUGGGCGGAAGCCUGAUGCAGCGACGCCGCGUGCGGGAUGACGGCCUUCGGGUUGUAAACCGCUUUCGCCUGUGACGAAGCGUGAGUGACGGUAAUGGGUGAAGAAGCACCGGCUAACUACGUG